CCUACGGGAGGCAGCAGUGGGGAAUAUUGGACAAUGGGCGAAAGCCUGAUCCAGCAAUGCCGCGUGAGUGAUGAAGGCCUUAGGGUUGUAAAGCUCUUUUACCCGGGAUGAUAAUGACAGUACCGGGAGAAUAAGCUCCGGCUAACUCCGUGCCAGCAGCCGCGGUAAUACGGAGGGAGCUAGCGUUAUUCGGAAUUACUGGGCGUAAAGCGUACGUAGGCGGCUUUGCAAGUUAGAGGUGAAAGCCUGGAGCUCAACUCCAGAACUGCCUUUAAAACUGCAUCGCUUGAAUCCAGGAGAGGUGAGUGGAAUUCCGAGUGUAGAGGUGAAAUUCGUAGAUAUUCGGAAGAACACCAGUGGCGAAGGCGGCUCACUGGACUGGUAUUGACGCUGAGGUACGAAAGCGUGGGGAGCAAACAGGAUUAGAUACCCUGGUAGUCCACGCCGUAAACGAUGAUAACUAGCUGUCAGGGCUACUUAGUGUCGUUUGGUUGGGUCGGCGAGCGUAACGUACAUUAAGUUAACUUCCGUCCGUCGGGGUAGGUACGGCCGGCCGAACGGUUAAAACCGUUAACGUAAACGGAAAGUUAGUACGGCGUGAGACGUGCCGACGGACGACGACGAGGGAGGUAGG
This 634-nucleotide ribosomal RNA is filed under the name uncultured bacterium. RNAcentral's name for it is "bacterial SSU rRNA". The stretch from base 1 to 529 matches the Rfam family "Bacterial small subunit ribosomal RNA", at positions 338 to 873 of the family's 1533-position model. The record is from RNAcentral.